UACGUAGGGGGCAAGCGUUGUCCGGAAUCAUUGGGCGUAAAGAGCGUGUAGGCGGCCUGAUAAGUCGGCUGUGAAAGUCAAGGGCUCAACCCUUGAAUGCCGGCCGAUACUGUCAGGCUAGAGUCCGGAAGAGGCGAGUGGAAUUCCUGGUGUAGCGGUGAAAUGCGCAGAUAUCAGGAGGAACACCUAUGGCGAAGGCAGCUCGCUGGGACGGUACUGACGCUGAGACGCGAAAUCGUGUUUAGCAAACAUG
RNAcentral lists this ribosomal RNA (253 nucleotides) under uncultured bacterium. Its description in RNAcentral is "partial 16S ribosomal RNA". It matches the Rfam family "Bacterial small subunit ribosomal RNA", at positions 524 to 776 of the family's 1533-position model. The record is from RNAcentral.